Molecule: non-coding RNA, 1212 nt
Organism: Phalacrocorax carbo (great cormorant)
Lineage: Eukaryota; Metazoa; Chordata; Aves; Suliformes; Phalacrocoracidae
Source: RefSeq, a predicted model, not a curated record
CAGGUUAAGUGUUACAUGUCUGUUGCUCUCAAGGACUACAUUACUUACAGUAAGGUCUACAAUGCAUUUGUACAUAGAACUUAUUUUCUUGAAAGCCAUAUAUAAAAAUUUACAAUAUCUGCAAACACUGAGGUUCAGAGAACUGUCUGUAUUCAUGGUAAGCCAUGCAUGGUACACAUUUAACUCUACCUAAUCAUCCAGGAUUAGUUCUCAUUGGCACAGCAGCACAGUCACUCUGGAAUCUGUCAUGAGUGACAUAGCCACAAGGUUUGGUGUUCCACUGAGCUGAGUCACAGACAGCAGCUUUUCCAAGUGGCAUAGUAUUUUUGUUCUUGUUCAUAUGUAGCUUCUUGCAAAGCAAAGAGUAAAUUCAAAUUUUUCAUCGGCUAUCACAUGCUUUCUGCUUUCUGUGUACUAUUUCACCCUGUUGCUGAUUGAUAAGCAAGACUUCAUAUCAAAGUUUUCUGCAGCAAACUGGACUUGCAGAGCUUUAGAUCCAUCUUUUUCUUUCUCUUUCAUUCUUCUCUAAUAUGUAACUUCUGUUGGUCUAUCUAGUUUAUAUAAAUAUUUAAAUCUUGAAUCUGUGCAAAUCAGACUUUAAACUACAGGCCCUAUAUUUCUGCAGAAAAAAGAUACAAUUGUUAAGAAUGCAUGGUCUUCCACACUUUUGACUGCUUCUCUCAAAUCUGAAUUGCUCAAUUCAGAAAACCAGAACAACUUCCACAGGUCCAAAGACCACUUUCAAUAGUGAAAGCUGAAGGAUAACCAGAGCAGAAGGUCGUGAAGGUCAUUACAUGUCAUGUAACCAUGAAGUGAAGACCUGAACCUCUCCCAGAUCUACUUUUUCACGCUGAGCAACUAAUCCUGAAGGGCAAUGUAUGACAAGAAAUGAGCAAUCAUCUCAUGAGCCAUCAGCACCGUUGCCAAGGCAUCCUAGUGGGUUGGUGAAAUCAUCUAAAUAUAAAUAUAUUUUGUCCCAAAAUUCUCUUUUUUCCCGUUUUAUCUCUGUAACAGUUUUGUCUGGUCUCCUGGUUUCAGCUGGGAUAGAGUUAAAUUUCUUCGUAGUAGCUAGUAUGGGGCCGUGUUUUGGAGAUUUGCUGGAAACAGCGGUGAUACUGCAGAGAUGUUUCAGUUGUUGCUAAGUAGCGCUUACACUGGUCAAGGACUUUUUCAGCUCCCCGUGCGCUGCCGGAUGCACAAGGGGCUGGGAGG